This 668-nucleotide long non-coding RNA is filed under the name Homo sapiens (human). RNAcentral describes it as "HSALNT0353170". Lineage: Eukaryota; Metazoa; Chordata; Mammalia; Primates; Hominidae. The record is from RNAcentral.
GCCCAGCCUCAUUACAUCAUUUUAGAUAGGGGAUGGGGAGGGGAUGGGGAGUGGAGAAGGGACUCAUGAUUCAUGUGCAGAUGUGUAUAUUCUCCUCUCUCCAUCUUCCUUUUGCUCUCCUGAGGUCCUUGGUGCCUUUACACAAUCUUCAUUGAUCUGGUGGCCCUUUAAUCUGUACACGACUUCUGUUUUCUUUAUUGCAGGUCCACUCGUUCCCCUUCCUACCUGCCCUCACAUGGUUUCUGGAUUCUCUUCCACAUAUUUUCAGAAUUCCAGGAUCAACACCUCCCUCCCUGUUCCUGUUCCCCCCAGAACAUUUUUGAGGCAGCAUUUCUACAGUGGGGAUGGCAUUCCCCAGAUGAUCCACUCAAGCUGCUCCACAGGUGUCCUUUGCUCCUUUCUUCUUGCCUCUUCCUACUAAUUGGCACUCCGAGGCCUGGAUGAAGACCUACAAUGAAGCCCACUUAUUUUAUAGAACUCACAUUUAGGCAGCAGGUAUAUGAAGCCCUGAAACUCCUUGGGAUCCCUAUGUUCAAAUGCCAAAGCAACUGUGACCAACUUUUGCCAUAUGGCAAAAAAAGACACUCUCUUGGCCUCCUUUUUCCACCAGCAAUGGAAAAGAAAAGAAAUAACAAUAAUAAAGAAAGAAGAGGUUGGUGUUUUCAUAA